Molecule: ribosomal RNA, 263 nt
Filed under: Klebsiella pneumoniae subsp. pneumoniae
Lineage: Bacteria; Pseudomonadati; Pseudomonadota; Gammaproteobacteria; Enterobacterales; Enterobacteriaceae
Description: partial 23S ribosomal RNA
Rfam family: Bacterial large subunit ribosomal RNA
Source: RNAcentral
GAGAGGACCGGAGUGGACGCAUCACUGGUGUUCGGGUUGUCAUGCCAAUGGCACUGCCCGGUAGCUAAAUGCGGAAGAGAUAAGUGCUGAAAGCAUCUAAGCACGARACUUGCCCCGAGAUGAGUUCUCCCUGAGACUUUAAGUCUCCUGAAGGAACGUUAAAGACGAUGACGUUGAUAGGCCGGGUGUGUAAGCGCAGCGAUGCGUUGAGCUAACCGGUACUAAUGAACCGUGAGGCUUAACCUUACAACGCCGAAGCUGUU